This 232-nucleotide ribosomal RNA is filed under the name uncultured bacterium. RNAcentral describes it as "partial 16S ribosomal RNA". It matches the Rfam family "Bacterial small subunit ribosomal RNA", at positions 1260 to 1500 of the family's 1533-position model. The record is from RNAcentral.
ACCGGAUGCGGAUCUCGAAAGCCUGUCCCAGUUCGGACUGGAGUCUGCAACCCGACUCCACGAAGUUGGAUUCGCUAGUAAUCGCGCAUCAGCCAUGGCGCGGUGAAUACGUUCCCGGGCCUUGUACACACCGCCCGUCAAGCCAUGGGAGCCGGGGGCGCCUGAAGUCCGGGACCGCGAGGAGCGCCCUAAGGUAAAACCGGUGACUGGGGCUAAGUCGUAACAAGGUACC